UACGUAGGGUGCGAGCGUUAAUCGGAAUUACUGGGCGUAAAGCGUGCGCAGGCGGUUUGUUAAGACAGAUGUGAAAUCCCCGGGCUUAACCUGGGAACUGCAUUUGUGACUGCAUCGCUGGAGUGCGGCAGAGGGGGAUGGAAUUCCGCGUGUAGCAGUGAAAUGCGUAGAGAUGCGGCGGAACACCGAUGGCGAAGGCAGCCCCCUGGGCUGAGAUUGACGCUCAGGCACGAAAGCGUGGGGAGCAAACAGG
This 253-nucleotide ribosomal RNA is filed under the name uncultured bacterium. Its description in RNAcentral is "partial 16S ribosomal RNA". It matches the Rfam family "Bacterial small subunit ribosomal RNA", at positions 524 to 776 of the family's 1533-position model. The record is from RNAcentral.